This 468-nucleotide ribosomal RNA is filed under the name uncultured bacterium. RNAcentral's name for it is "partial 16S ribosomal RNA". It matches the Rfam family "Bacterial small subunit ribosomal RNA", at positions 28 to 507 of the family's 1533-position model. The record is from RNAcentral.
GACGAACGCUGGCGGCGUGCUUAACACAUGCAAGUCGAACGGAAAGGCCCUGCUUUUGUGGGGUGCUCGAGUGGCGAACGGGUGAGUAACACGUGAGUAACCUGCCCUUGACUUUGGGAUAACUUCAGGAAACUGGGGCUAAUACCGGAUAGGAGCUCCUGCUGCAUGGUGGGGGUUGGAAAGUUUCGGCGGUUGGGGAUGGACUCGCGGCUUAUCAGCUUGUUGGUGGGGUAGUGGCUUACCAAGGCUUUGACGGGUAGCCGGACUGAGAGGGUGACCGGCAAAAUGGGGACUGAGAGACGGCCCAGACUCCAACGGGAGGAAGCAGUGGGGAAUAUUGCAGAAUGGGAGGAAGCCUGAUGCAGCAACGCCGCGUGCGGGAUGACGGCCUUCGGGUUGUAAACCGAUUUCGCCUGUGACGAAGAGUGAGUGACGGUAAUGGGUAAAGAAGCACCGGCUAACUACGUG